GUCUGAGUGUGGGCCAGCAGCCGCGGUAAUACGGAGGGGGCUAGGGGUGUGCGGAGUUAGUGGGCGUGAAGGGCGUGUGGGGGGCCAGGGAGGGCUGCGUUGAAAACUCGAGGCGUAACCUCGAGAUGUCGGCGGAAACCAUCUGGCUAGAGUCCGGAAGAGGAGAGUGGAAUUCCUGGUGUAGCGGUGAAAUGCGCAGAUAUCAGGAAGAACACCCGUGGCGAAGGCGGCUCUCUGGGACGGUACUGACGCUGAGACGCGAAAGCGUGGGGAGCGAACAGGAUUAGAUACCCGGUAGUC
RNAcentral lists this ribosomal RNA (300 nucleotides) under uncultured Bacillus sp. RNAcentral describes it as "bacterial SSU rRNA". It matches the Rfam family "Bacterial small subunit ribosomal RNA", at positions 495 to 795 of the family's 1533-position model. Lineage: Bacteria; Bacillati; Bacillota; Bacilli; Caryophanales; Bacillaceae. The record is from RNAcentral.